UUCCUCUCUCUACAAUUUUUUAGCUGCAAGUGUUUAGCUUAACACAAAAAUACUUGCACUUUGUUGUUCAAAGAAUCUAUGAUAAAUUGUAACAUAUUGUUUGAGUAAUACUUUUGUGAGACCCUGGAACUGGGUCCGGUCCACUUGACCGGCCUAGUCCCAACACUUGCACGUGAGGCAGCAACGGGAUGGAUUCUUUCCAUCCCGAAGAAGAAGGAGGAGCCCUGUUUUAGGGCUUCCUUCUCCUUCUUCUUCUCCUUUGAGCCCACCGAAGGAGAGCCGCCGCACGCAAAGGGAGGAGGGUCUUCUUCGUGUGGCCACCGAGAGAGAGGGAGAGAGGGAGAGAGAGAGAGAGAGAGAGGGAGAGAGGGAGAGAGAGAGGAGCCACGGCACCGGGUGGUCUCCUUCUUCCUUGCCGCCGGAGAAGAGAGGUGCCGUCUUCGUCGGGGCUAAGGUGCUGCAAGGGAUUUGCGGAAAUAAUUGGAUUUGUUGUGGAUCGCGUUCGCAAGAUUUCGAGAACUAAUCUAUUGGGGAUUCAAAUUGGGG
This is a non-coding RNA of Phoenix dactylifera (date palm), 546 nucleotides long. Lineage: Eukaryota; Viridiplantae; Streptophyta; Magnoliopsida; Arecales; Arecaceae. The record is from RefSeq and is a predicted model, not a curated record.